CUGACGUAGUGGUCAGGCUGUGUGCACCUGUCCCAACAGACUGAGCUUUCCCUGCCCUUGAGGAAGGACGAUCUCAUGUUAGCAAUUGGAGCUCCUUUCCAACAGGAAAUCAGGCCCUUCCCCAAGAGCUCUCAAGGGUGGUCGGGAAAGGCGUCUGCACCCACUCAUUUCAACUGAACUAGUCAAGUGGACCCUGCUAUAGCCGUGGUUACCUUUGGGAGAGCAAAUUAAUGGAAGGUUCACCUUAUCAGAAGAAUGGUGUCAAAUGCCACUGUCUUUAAGAAAUGGACUCCACCUGGACCUCACCUUCUCCGUUUCUCCUCAUUCUUGCCCAUCUGACGGUGUCUGGAUUCAAGUCUUCCACAGACUCAUGUGAAUACUGAAGGGGGCGUUGGCUGACCACAACCCUGGAAAUAGGGG
RNAcentral lists this long non-coding RNA (420 nucleotides) under Dasypus novemcinctus (nine-banded armadillo). RNAcentral's name for it is "lncRNA (ENSDNOG00000051275.1)". The record is from RNAcentral. Lineage: Eukaryota; Metazoa; Chordata; Mammalia; Cingulata; Dasypodidae.